Long non-coding RNA from Gasterosteus aculeatus aculeatus (three-spined stickleback), 309 nucleotides. The record is from Ensembl. Lineage: Eukaryota; Metazoa; Chordata; Actinopteri; Perciformes; Gasterosteidae.
GUUUGACCAUGUCCUGGAUGUAAGCUGGACCCGAUCCAUUCACAGCAUGGUACGUUUACGUAAACGAUUAGAUCUGCGACUUGAUGCGCGUGGUGAGCAGCAAACUACCUCAUGCUGUACAGUACAUCAGCAGCUGGACCAUGUGUGUCAUCCAUACGGGAAUAAGGGAGAAAGAGAGACGGAGCCGAAAGAAAGGGAAUGGUGAUGGUCGGUUCGUCAUGUUCCUCCUCCUCCGCCUUCUAUUCCUCCACCUACGCAAUGGACGCUCAGUCAGGCAACUCCCAAGAAGUAAUGACAUGACCAACAACA